Molecule: ribosomal RNA, 253 nt
Filed under: uncultured bacterium
Lineage: Bacteria
Description: partial 16S ribosomal RNA
Rfam family: Bacterial small subunit ribosomal RNA
Source: RNAcentral
UACAGAGGUGGCAAGCGUUGUUCGGAAUUACUGGGCGUAAAGGGCGCGUAGGCGGCCUUCUAAGUCAGACGUGAAAUCCCCCGGCUUAACCUGGGAACUGCGUCUGAUACUGGAGGGCUUGAGUGCGGGAGAGGGAUGUGGAAUUCCAGGUGUAGCGGUGAAAUGCGUAGAUAUCUGGAGGAACACCGGUGGCGAAGGCGGCAUCCUGGACCGACACUGACGCUGAGGAGCGAAAGCGUGGGUAGCAAACAGG